This 238-nucleotide ribosomal RNA is filed under the name Acisanthera paraguayensis. RNAcentral describes it as "partial 28S ribosomal RNA". It matches the Rfam family "Eukaryotic large subunit ribosomal RNA", at positions 1 to 237 of the family's 3401-position model. The record is from RNAcentral. RNAcentral also lists the same sequence under 3 other names. Lineage: Eukaryota; Viridiplantae; Streptophyta; Magnoliopsida; Myrtales; Melastomataceae.
GCGAUCCCAGGUCAGGCGGGGCUACCCGCUGAGUUUAAGCAUAUCAAUAAGCGGAGGAGAAGAAACUAACGAGGAUUCCCUUAGUAGCGGCGAGCGAACCGGGAGGAGCCCAGCAUGAAAAUCGUUCGCCGUCGGCGGCCGAAUUGUAGUCUGGAGAAGCGUCCUCAGUGACGGACCGGACCCAAGUUCACUGGAAGGUGGCGCCGGAGAGGGUGAGAGCCCCGUCGUGCCCGGACCC